GUGACUGCGUACCUUUUGUAUAAUGGGUCAGCGACUUAUAUUCUGUAGCAAGGUUAACCGAAUAGGGGAGCCGGAGGGAAACCGAGUCUUAACCGGGCGUUAAGUUGCAGGGUAUAGACCCGAAACCCGGUGAUCUAGCCAUGGGCAGGUUGAAGGUUGGGUAACACUAACUGGAGGACCGAACCGACUAAUGUUGAAAAAUUAGCGGAUGACCUGUGGCUGGGGGUGAAAGGCCAAUCAAACCGGGAGAUAGCUGGUUCUCCCCGAAAGCUAUUUAGGUAGCGCCUCGUGAAUUCAUCUCCGGGGGUAGAGCACUGUUUCGGCUAGGGGGCCAUCCCGGCUUACCAACCCGAUGCAAACUGCGAAUACCGGAGAAUGUUAUCACGGGAGACACACGGCGGGUGCUAACGUCCGUCGUGAAGAGGGAAACAACCCAGACCGCCAGCUAAGGUCCCAAAGUCAUGGUUAAGUGGGAAACGAUGUGGGAAGGCCCAGACAGCCAGGAUGUUGGCUUAGAAGCAGCCAUCAUUUAAAGAAAGCGUAAUAGCUCACUGGUCGAGUCGGCCUGCGCGGAAGAUGUAACGGGGCUAAACCAUGCACCGAAGCUGCGGCAGCGACGCUGAUGCGUUGUUGGGUAGGGGAGCGUUCUGUAAGCCUGCGAAGGUGGCCUGUGAGGGUUGCUGGAGGUAUCAGAAGUGCGAAUGCUGACAUAAGUAACGAUAAAGCGGGUGAAAAGCCCGCUCGCCGGAAGACCAAGGGUUCCUGUCCAACGUUAAUCGGGGCAGGGUGAGUCGACCCCUAAGGCGAGGCCGAAAGGCGUAGUCGAUGGGAAACGGGUUAAUAUUCCCGUACUUGGUGUUACUGCGAAGGGGGGACGGAGAAGGCUAUGUUGGCCGGGCGACGGUUGUCCCGGUUUAAGCGUGUAGGUGUGUGUUCCAGGUAAAUCCGGUUCACUUUAACACUGAGGCGUGAUGACGAGGCACUACGGUGCUGAAGCAACAAAUGCCCUGCUUCCAGGAAAAGCCUCUAAGCAUCAGGUAACAUCAAAUCGUACCCCAAACCGACACAGGUGGUCAGGUAGAGAAUACCAAGGCGCUUGAGAGAACUCGGGUGAAGGAACUAGGCAAAAUGGUGCCGUAACUUCGGGAGAAGGCACGCUGACACGUAGGUGAAGUGAUUUACUCAUGGAGCUGAAGUCAGUCGAAGAUACCAGCUGGCUGCAACUGUUUAUUAAAAACACAGCACUGUGCAAACACGAAAGUGGACGUAUACGGUGUGACGCCUGCCCGGUGCCGGAAGGUUAAUUGAUGGGGUCAGCGCAAGCGAAGCUCCUGAUCGAAGCCCCGGUAAACGGCGGCCGUAACUAUAACGGUCCUAAGGUAGCGAAAUUCCUUGUCGGGUAAGUUCCGACCUGCACGAAUGGCGUAAUGAUGGCCAGGCUGUCUCCACCCGAGACUCAGUGAAAUUGAACUCGCUGUGAAGAUGCAGUGUACCCGCGGCAAGACGGAAAGACCCCGUGAACCUUUACUAUAGCUUGACACUGAACAUUGAGCCUUGAUGUGUAGGAUAGGUGGGAGGCUUUGAAGUGUGG
This 1591-nucleotide ribosomal RNA is filed under the name Salmonella enterica subsp. enterica serovar Schwarzengrund. RNAcentral's name for it is "partial 23S ribosomal RNA". It matches the Rfam family "Bacterial large subunit ribosomal RNA", at positions 593 to 2167 of the family's 2925-position model. The record is from RNAcentral. Lineage: Bacteria; Pseudomonadati; Pseudomonadota; Gammaproteobacteria; Enterobacterales; Enterobacteriaceae.